UGGGUGAUCUGCCCUGCACUUUGGGAUAAGCCUGGGAAACUGGGUCUAAUACCGAAUACACCUUGCUGGCCGCAUGGUCUGGUGGGGGAAAGCUUUUGCGGUGUGGGAUGGGCCCGCGGCCUACCAGCUUGUUGGUGGGGUGAUGGCCUACCAAGGCGACGACGGGUAGCCGGCCUGAGAGGGUGACCGGCCACACUGGGACUGAGACACGGCCCAGACUCCUACGGGAGGCA
RNAcentral lists this ribosomal RNA (233 nucleotides) under uncultured bacterium. RNAcentral describes it as "partial 16S ribosomal RNA". It matches the Rfam family "Bacterial small subunit ribosomal RNA", at positions 118 to 350 of the family's 1533-position model. The record is from RNAcentral.